This 474-nucleotide ribosomal RNA is filed under the name uncultured bacterium. Its description in RNAcentral is "bacterial SSU rRNA". It matches the Rfam family "Bacterial small subunit ribosomal RNA", at positions 28 to 496 of the family's 1533-position model. The record is from RNAcentral.
GAUGAACGCUAGCGGCAGGCUUAAUACAUGCAAGUCGUACGGGAUCCGAGAUAGCAAUAUCUUGGUGAGAGUGGCGCACGGGUGCGUAACACGUAUGCAACCUACCUUUAACCGGGACACAACCUCGAGAAAUUGUGGCUAAUAUCCCAUAACACUGCGAAGUGGCAUCACUUUGCAGUUAAAACUCCGGUGGUUAUAGAUGGGCAUGCGCGACAUUAGCUAGUUGGUGAGGUAACGGCCCACCAAGGCUACGAUGUCUAGGGGUUCUGAGAGGAUUAUCCCCCACACUGGUACUGAGACACGGACCAGACUCCUACGGGAGGCAGCAGUGAGGAAUAUUGGACAAUGGGCGCAAGCCUGAUCCAGCCAUGCCGCGUGCAGGAAGAAGCAUCUAUGGUGUGUAAAACUGCUUUUGUACGGGAAGAAACACUCCUUCGUGAAGGAGCUUGACGGUACCGUAAGAAUAAGGAUCGG